Molecule: ribosomal RNA, 197 nt
Filed under: uncultured bacterium
Lineage: Bacteria
Description: partial 16S ribosomal RNA
Rfam family: Bacterial small subunit ribosomal RNA
Source: RNAcentral
ACGCUCGACACCUACGGAGGCAGCAGUGGGGAAUAUUGCACAAUGGGGGAAACCCUGAUGCAGCGACGCCGCGUGAAGGAAGAAGUAUCUCGGUAUGUAAACUUCUAUCAGCAGGGAAGAAAAUGACGGUACCUGACUAAGAAGCCCCGGCUAAUUACGUGCCAGCAGCCGCGGUAAUCUGAGCGGGCUGGCAAGGC